Tribolium castaneum (red flour beetle) is the source of this 1198-nucleotide RNA transcript. It is a transcript of the gene named Mediator complex subunit 31, with no coding region annotated. Lineage: Eukaryota; Metazoa; Arthropoda; Insecta; Coleoptera; Tenebrionidae. The transcript is spliced from 5 exons. The record is from RefSeq and is a predicted model, not a curated record.
AUGUUUUGUAGACAAAGCCGCAACCCAUCCACCUGUUUUCAUACAAAUACCAUUACCAUAUACCACCACCAUGGGAAUUUCCAUGAAAAUUCCUCGUGUUGGGGAUCAUUAUGUUAGUCAGUUAUUUUCUUAUUGGUGGUCAAUUUCCCGCUCAAUUAAAUAACUGGGCUACUUUCACCAGCGAUUGAUUUUUCCACACGCUUCUUACAACAUGUACCGUUUCGAUCCGAUUUCUUAUUAUUGAGAAUUGAAUUACGCAAGAAUAAUACUUUCAAUAGAAGAACAAGGGAAUUUGCCAAGCCUCUAAUGGUCGCUUUUCUAUUGUUGUUACUUGUGACAUUUUAAGUGCACGCUCUUACAACACGAACUUGCAUUUAUCCUAAUUGAUUAAUUAAAAAAAUUCGAAUUCGAAUCACGCGCCAUUUUAUGCACAACAAACAUGGCUGGGAAAGGCUGGAAUUAUAUGUCAGGGGCUCCGGAAACCGACGAUCAGCAAAGACUCCGCUUCCAGAUUGAGCUAGAGUUUGUGCAGUGUCUCGGAAAUCCUAAUUAUCUCAACUUUCUCGCACAGCGUGGUUAUUUUAAGGAUAGUACGUUUGUUAACUAUUUGAAGUAUUUGCUUUAUUGGAAGGAGCCCGAAUACGCCAAAUAUUUGAAAUAUCCAAUGUGUUUGUAUUUUUUGGAUUUGUUGCAAUAUGAACACUUCCGGAGGGAAUUGGUGAAUGCUCAGUGUUCGAAAUUUAUCGACGAUCAACAACUUUUAUUGUGGCAACACUACACCAGGCGGAGGAGUCGUUUGUUAACCCCUUCGAAUGUUAACGGGACAGGUGAACAAAGUAUUAACCAGAAUAGCCAAAGUAACGGACAUUUGAGCAAUAAAAUCAGCUAGUUACAUAAAUCACCAAGAUCCCACCAAUUGCACCAAAAUCCCACCCAUUUCCAUCCAAAUCACAAUUGAUUGGCUGUCGCUGUAAUUAAGUUUGCAGACUGGCGAUUAUGAGGCUUGUAUAUGGGGUGGCUACGCGAUUGGGUUUUGGCGAACAAAUCGCAGUGGCCUUAAAUGGGGCUUUUGUGCCUCCGGGGGUUGACGAUUACGAUUAUGGGGGUGAUGAUUAUGGGAUUUUGGACAGGGAUGACGAUUACGACUAUUAAUUUAUUUUGUACAAAUGUUUAAAUAAAAUUAUUUUAUCUAAUCAAA